This 1481-nucleotide ribosomal RNA is filed under the name metagenome. Its description in RNAcentral is "bacterial LSU rRNA". It matches the Rfam family "Bacterial large subunit ribosomal RNA", at positions 1448 to 2925 of the family's 2925-position model. The record is from RNAcentral.
GUGUAGUGCGAUGUGGGGACGGAGAAGGUUAGCUCAGCCGGGUGUUGGAUGUCCCGGUUCAAGCCUGUAGUCGUGCCUGGUAGGUAAAUCCGCCGGGCUUAGAUGAGGGGUGAUAACGAGGAGGCUUGCCUCCGAAGUGAGUGAUACCCAGCUUCCAGGAAAAGCCACUAAGCUUCAGCUGCACACGACCGUACCGCAAACCGACACUGGUGCGCGAGAUGAGUAUUCUCAGGCGCUUGAGAGAACUCGGGAGAAGGAACUCGGCAAAUUGACACCGUAACUUCGGAAGAAGGUGUGCCUUUAGUAGGUGAACCCGUACAGGGGGAGCCCAAUGAGGUUGCAAAGAAUCGGUGGCUGCGACUGUUUAAUAAAAACACAGCACUCUGCAAACACGAAAGUGGACGUAUAGGGUGUGACGCCUGCCCGGUGCUGGAAGAUUAAGUGAUGGGGUGCAAGCUCUUGAUCGAAGUCCCAGUAAACGGCGGCCGUAACCAUAACGGUCCUAAGGUAGCGAAAUUCCUUGUCGGGUAAGUUCCGACCUGCACGAAUGGCGUAACGAUGGCCACACUGUCUCCUCCCGAGACUCAGCGAAGUUGAAAUGUUUGUGAUGAUGCAAUCUCCCCGCGGAAAGACGGAAAGACCCCAUGAACCUUUACUGUAGCUUUGUAUUGGACUUUGAACGGAUCUGUGUAGGAUAGGUGGGAGGCUUUGAAGCAGGGUCGCUAGAUCUUGUGGAGCCAACGUUGAAAUACCACCCUGGUGCGUUUGAGGUUCUAACCUAGGCCCGUUAUCCGGGUCGGGGACAGUGCAUGGUAGGCAGUUUGACUGGGGCGGUCUCCUCCCAAAGCGUAACGGAGGAGUUCGAAGGUACGCUAGUUACGGUCGGACAUCGUGACGAUAGUGCAAUGGCAUAAGCGUGCUUAACUGCGAGACUGACAAGUCGAGCAGAUGCGAAAGCAGGACAUAGUGAUCCGGUGGUUCUGUAUGGAAGGGCCAUCGCUCAACGGAUAAAAGGUACUCUGGGGAUAACAGGCUGAUACCGCCCAAGAGUUCAUAUCGACGGCGGUGUUUGGCACCUCGAUGUCGGCUCAUCUCAUCCUGGGGCUGUAGCCGGUCCCAAGGGUAUGGCUGUUCGCCAUUUAAAGAGGUACGUGAGCUGGGUUUAAAACGUCGUGAGACAGUUUGGUCCCUAUCUUCCGUGGGCGCUGCAGAUUUGAGGAAGCCUGCUCCUAGUACGAGAGGACCGGAGUGGACGCACCUCUGGUGUACCUGUUGUCACGCCAGUGGCAUUGCAGGGUAGCUAAGUGCGGAAGAGAUAACCGCUGAAAGCAUCUAAGCGGGAAACUCGUUUCAAGAUGAGAUCUGCCGGGGCCUUGAGCCCCCUGAAGAGUCGUUCUAGACCAGGACGUUGAUAGGCUGGGUGUGGAAGCGCAGUAAUGCGUUAAGCUAACCAGUACUAAUUGCUCGUGCGGCUUGACCCU